AGGAAGUAAAAGUCGUAACAAGGUUUCCGUAGGUGAACCUGCGGAAGGAUCAUUCAUAAUAAGUGUUUUAUGGCACUUUUUAAAUCCAUAUCCACCUUGUGUGCAAUGUCAGUCGGUCUUCUUUAUGGAGAUCGGCCAAACAUCAACCUAAUUUUUUAACUCUUUGUCUGAAAAAUAUUAUGAAUAAAAUAAUUCAAAAUACAACUUUCAACAACGGAUCUCUUGGCUCUCGCAUCGAUGAAGAACGCAGCGAAAUGCGAUACGUAAUGUGAAUUGCAGAAUUCAGUGAAUCAUCGAAUCUUUGAACGCAUAUUGCGCUCUUUGGUAUUCCGAAGAGCAUGCUUGUUUGAGUAUCAGUAAACACCUCAAAACUUUUUUUUAUUUUUGAAAAACAGUUUUGGACUUGAGCAAUCCCAACACCAAUCUUUUUUAGAUCGGUGGCGGGUUGCUUGAAAUGCAGGUGCAGCUGGACAUUCUCCUGAGCUAAAAGCAUAUUUAUUUAGUCCCGUCAAACGGAUUAUUACUUUUGCUGCAGCUAAUAUAAAGGGAGUUUGACCGUUUUGGCUGACUGAUGCAGGAUUUCACAAGGGUCGGCAACGAUUCUUGUAAAACUCGAUCUCAAAUCAAGUAAGACUACCCGCUGAACUUAAGCAUAU
This 656-nucleotide ribosomal RNA is filed under the name Mortierella sp. 12NJ01. RNAcentral describes it as "eukaryotic LSU rRNA". The stretch from base 203 to 356 matches the Rfam family "5.8S ribosomal RNA". Lineage: Eukaryota; Fungi; Mortierellomycota; Mortierellomycetes; Mortierellales; Mortierellaceae. The record is from RNAcentral.